RNAcentral lists this ribosomal RNA (1681 nucleotides) under Enterobacteriaceae bacterium RIT714. Its description in RNAcentral is "partial 23S ribosomal RNA". It matches the Rfam family "Bacterial large subunit ribosomal RNA", at positions 1271 to 2925 of the family's 2925-position model. Lineage: Bacteria; Pseudomonadati; Pseudomonadota; Gammaproteobacteria; Enterobacterales; Enterobacteriaceae. The record is from RNAcentral.
UGCUGGAGGUAUCAGAAGUGCGAAUGCUGACAUAAGUAACGAUAAAGCGGGUGAAAAGCCCGCUCGCCGGAAGACCAAGGGUUCCUGUCCAACGUUAAUCGGGGCAGGGUGAGUCGACCCCUAAGGCGAGGCCGAAAGGCGUAGUCGAUGGGAAACAGGUUAAUAUUCCUGUACUCGGUGUUACUGCGAAGGGGGGACGGAGAAGGCUAUGUUAGCCGGGCGACGGUUGUCCCGGUUUAAGCAUGUAGGCGGAGAGUUUAGGUAAAUCCGGACUCUUAUCUAACGCUGAGGUGUGAUGACGAGGCACUACGGUGCUGAAGUAACAAAUGCCCUGCUUCCAGGAAAAGCCUCUAAGCAUCAGGUAACAUCAAAUCGUACCCCAAACCGACACAGGUGGUCAGGUAGAGAAUACCAAGGCGCUUGAGAGAACUCGGGUGAAGGAACUAGGCAAAAUGGUGCCGUAACUUCGGGAGAAGGCACGCUGGUGUGUAGGUGAAGUCCCUGCGGACGGAGCUGAAACCAGUCGAAGAUACCAGCUGGCUGCAACUGUUUAUUAAAAACACAGCACUGUGCAAACACGAAAGUGGACGUAUACGGUGUGACGCCUGCCCGGUGCCGGAAGGUUAAUUGAUGGGGUUAGCCGCAAGGCGAAGCUCUUGAUCGAAGCCCCGGUAAACGGCGGCCGUAACUAUAACGGUCCUAAGGUAGCGAAAUUCCUUGUCGGGUAAGUUCCGACCUGCACGAAUGGCGUAAUGAUGGCCAGGCUGUCUCCACCCGAGACUCAGUGAAAUUGAACUCGCUGUGAAGAUGCAGUGUACCCGCGGCAAGACGGAAAGACCCCGUGAACCUUUACUAUAGCUUGACACUGAACACUGGUCCUUGAUGUGUAGGAUAGGUGGGAGGCUUUGAAGCGUGGACGCCAGUCUGCGUGGAGCCAACCUUGAAAUACCACCCUUUAAUGGCUGGUGUUCUAACGUAGACCCGUAAUCCGGGUUGCGGACAGUGUCUGGUGGGUAGUUUGACUGGGGCGGUCUCCUCCUAAAGAGUAACGGAGGAGCACGAAGGUUAGCUAAUCCUGGUCGGACAUCAGGAGGUUAGUGCAAUGGCAUAAGCUAGCUUGACUGCGAGAGUGACGGCUCGAGCAGGUGCGAAAGCAGGUCAUAGUGAUCCGGUGGUUCUGAAUGGAAGGGCCAUCGCUCAACGGAUAAAAGGUACUCCGGGGAUAACAGGCUGAUACCGCCCAAGAGUUCAUAUCGACGGCGGUGUUUGGCACCUCGAUGUCGGCUCAUCACAUCCUGGGGCUGAAGUAGGUCCCAAGGGUACGGCUGUUCGCCGUUUAAAGUGGUACGCGAGCUGGGUUUAGAACGUCGUGAGACAGUUCGGUCCCUAUCUGCCGUGGGCGCUGGAGAAUUGAGGGGGGCUGCUCCUAGUACGAGAGGACCGGAGUGGACGCAUCACUGGUGUUCGGGUUGUCAUGCCAAUGGCAUUGCCCGGUAGCUAAAUGCGGAAAAGAUAAGUGCUGAAAGCAUCUAAGCACGAAACUUGCCCCGAGAUGAGUUCUCCCUGACUCUUUAAGAGUCCUGAAGGAACGUUGAAGACUACGACGUUGAUAGGUCGGGUGUGUAAGUGCAGCGAUGCAUUGAGCUAACCGAUACUAAUGAACCGUGAGGCUUAACCUUAC